GAGUUUGAUCAUGGCUCAGGAUAAACGCUGGCGGCGUGCCUAAUACAUGCAAGUCGAACGAGGGAACCAGUUUACUGGUGAACUUAGUGGCGAACGGGUGAGUAAUACGUAAGCAACCUGCCACGGAGACCGGGAUAAUCCCUGGAAACGGGGACUAAGACCGGAUAGGCAGCGGAGGGGAUCCCACUGCUGUUAAAGAUGGAAAACACUGGUGGAUGGGCUUACGGUGCAUUAGCUUGUGGUGAGGUAACGGCCCACCAAGGCGAUGAUGCAUAGCCGGCCUGAGAGGGUGAACGGCCAAUUGGUACUGAGACACGGCCCAGACUCCUACGGGAGGCAGCAGUAGGGAAUUUUCGGCAAGGAGGAAACUCUGACCGAGCAACGCCGCGUGAGUGAAGAAGGUCUUCGGAUUGUAAAGCUUGUUGUAAGGGAAGAACGGUCUGUGGAGAACACAGGAGUGACGGUACCUUACCAGAAAGCACGGCUAACUACGUGCCAGCAGCCGCGGUAAUACGUAGGUGGCGAGC
This 527-nucleotide ribosomal RNA is filed under the name uncultured Lactobacillus sp. RNAcentral's name for it is "bacterial SSU rRNA". It matches the Rfam family "Bacterial small subunit ribosomal RNA", at positions 9 to 539 of the family's 1533-position model. Lineage: Bacteria; Bacillati; Bacillota; Bacilli; Lactobacillales; Lactobacillaceae. The record is from RNAcentral.